RNAcentral lists this ribosomal RNA (411 nucleotides) under uncultured bacterium. RNAcentral's name for it is "partial 16S ribosomal RNA". It matches the Rfam family "Bacterial small subunit ribosomal RNA", at positions 355 to 783 of the family's 1533-position model. The record is from RNAcentral.
UGGGGAAUAUUGCACAAUGGGCGAAAGCCUGAUGCAGCAACGCCGCGUGAGUGAUGAAGGUCUUCGGAUUGUAAAGCUCUGUCUUUUGGGACGAUAAUGACGGUACCAAAGGAGGAAGCCACGGCUAACUACGUGCCAGCAGCCGCGGUAAUACGUAGGUGGCGAGCGUUGUCCGGAUUUACUGGGCGUAAAGGGUGCGUAGGCGGAUGUUUAAGUGAGAUGUGAAAUACCCGGGCUUAACUUGGGUGCUGCAUUUCAAACUGGAUAUCUAGAGUGCAGGAGAGGAGAAUGGAAUUCCUAGCGUAGCGGUGAAAUGCGUAGAGAUUAGGAAGAACACCAGUGGCGAAGGCGAUUCUCUGGACUGUAACUGACGCUGAGGCACGAAAGCGUGGGUAGCAAACAGGAUUAGAU